UAUUGAUGAUUAUGAAAUGAGUCGCAUUUCUUAGAAUUGAGGCUCUGAGGAAGCCACUGACUGCCUAGGAAUUAAGACAGGGCGUGAGAAGUCCAGUUGAUCAAGGCGGAAACUUUAUUUUCUGAGAGCCUUUCCACAGCUGCCUUUUGCAGGCUCUUUGGACGCUCCCCGUUGUGCCAUGUUUUGUGGCUUUCUCUGUAGGAAGAAUUUGUCUUGAUGAAGAUUCCUAACAUUGGUAAUGUGAUGAAUAAAUUUGAGAUCCUUGGGGUUGUAGGUGAAGGUAAGUAGUAUAUUUUAUAUAAUCCAUUUAUUUAUUUAUUAGAUUUCACUUAGUCUUCUUGAUGAAAAAGUUUUCAUUUACAAAAUGCUGCUUGUAUCAUAUCUUGUG
RNAcentral lists this long non-coding RNA (388 nucleotides) under Gallus gallus (chicken). The record is from RNAcentral. Lineage: Eukaryota; Metazoa; Chordata; Aves; Galliformes; Phasianidae.